UACGAAGGGGGCUAGCGUUGUUCGGAAUUACUGGGCGUAAAGCGCACGUAGGCGGAUUGUUAAGUUAGGGGUGAAAUCCCGGGGCUCAACCCCGGAACUGCCUUUAAUACUGGCAAUCUCGAGUCCGAGAGAGGUGAGUGGAAUUCCGAGUGUAGAGGUGAAAUUCGUAGAUAUUCGCAAGAACACCAGUGGCGAAGGCGGCUCACUGGCCCGAUACUGACGCUGAGGCACGAAAGCGUGGGGAGCAAACAGG
This 253-nucleotide ribosomal RNA is filed under the name uncultured bacterium. RNAcentral's name for it is "partial 16S ribosomal RNA". It matches the Rfam family "Bacterial small subunit ribosomal RNA", at positions 524 to 776 of the family's 1533-position model. The record is from RNAcentral.